Molecule: long non-coding RNA, 518 nt
Filed under: Fukomys damarensis (Damara mole-rat)
Lineage: Eukaryota; Metazoa; Chordata; Mammalia; Rodentia; Bathyergidae
Description: lncRNA (ENSFDAG00000026225.1)
Source: RNAcentral
CACUCCCACCCCCAGUCCUCUGUGGGAAGUCUGCGGUUGGCCUUCCUUUUAUCUCUAAGGGGAGAGAAGAUGGGAAGGAUCAUGCGUGCAUGUGGCCACCAUGUGUGAACGGAGAAUCACUGGGUGGGUGGUAAUGACCACUGCUCAUCCUUUCUGUCAAAAAGACAGACACCCCCCCUACCCACAGACCACAAGAAUUUCCCACAGACUCAGUGGAAACGAUGGAUCCUGGCAGAUGACUUCCAACCAGUGCCUGCAUCUACUUAAUGGAAGGCUGAUGGACAAGUUUCAUUUCUCAGGGUCCCUUGCCCUUGGUCUGUCCCUCCACUUUCAGCUGGAUGAUAAUUUACGGAAGUGGUGUCCUCUUCUCCAUGAAGCUUGAUUCCCCAAGGUGAAAAGGAGCACUCCAGCUAUUGUCUACCAAUGGACACUGUGUAGAUUUCUCUCCCGGCAGUGCUAACAUUUCAGGGCAAUUGUUUGUCCUACCUCUCCUUCCUGAUACCAGGGACAAUUUGAAG